AAGGAUCUCCAAAUUUGAAAAACAAAAUAUAUAAUAAUAGUCCUGACUCAUGAGUUUAAUAAUAUGAGGUAAAUAUUCCUUUAACUCCUAUAUUUGGUAAAAUCUCACAAGACACCCUCAUAUUUUAUUUUGGUCAUAUCGUUUUAUUCCCUCGGUAAUAUAUUUAAUUGGUAAAUACAAAUUAACAGAAUACUGGCAAUGGCAGAAAAGCCAUAAACUAUGUACAAAGAAUUCAAAUAAAAAAAAAAAUCGAAAACAAAUUCAGUCCACGAAUUUAUUGAUUAAUACCAAAGAAAUGAAAAGGGCCCUCGUAAAUUAAUCAAUAAUGAAAUUAAGAGAGACAGAAAAAAAAUUAUAAAAAAAAAAGUGUAGAGAGAUAGUGCAUCAUGCACAUAGCCACAUAUGAUGAGUUCAAGCACGUCAACUGCCUCCGCCUCCGCCUCCACAGCCGCCACCUCCACCUCCGCCCCCACAGCCGCCACCUCCACCUCCACCCCCACAUCCGGCGCCUCCUCCACCAUGGUCGUGAUGAUUCGCAGCAGCAGCAUCAGCAAUAUCAGCACCGGACUUGACGCCCUCGCCGCAGCAGCUGAUUAAGCAUUCGAGGAAACUGUUUUGCUUUUUCUUGUUUGCAUUUUUAUUUGCCUUCUUCUUAGUCUUACCCAUAACUGGAGAAAUCGAAUUAAUAUUGAAGUCUUUUAUUUUCGUUUUAUCGAUAUUUUACAUAAUCUGCGUACGUGAUAUAUAUACACACACACACACAAAAUAUCAUUCUCUUUAAUAGUAUUACUUUAUAAUUAAGGUCGUUGACUUGACUUACUAAUUCAUAAAAGUCCUAUUACGCGUCUUCUGACCGUGUUAUUAGUCUCAAUGUCUAGCUUCUAGGUUUUGGGAAGGUUCUUGGAUCAUUCGUGCCACGAUUAAUUCUAAGCCAAGAUAAGAGGAGCAUUGAAUUACUAUAUACGUACAUUCAACUGGAUUAUUAGUCUAAGAAUUUAAGCGGUUUGUGUAUGAAAUGAUUAACAAAGAUGGUACCAAGUGCCAACCUACCUAGACCUUCAUAUCUAUAUGCAAAAGCACUUCGGCGGAGCAUGCAGGAAGGAAAUUUAAUUACAUUUUUUACUUUUGUUUUUGUGAGAGUGCCUGAGGCCUCUCGGCUUACCUUUUUAUGUACAUAUUUGUCAAAAUAAGUGGCUACAGGAUCUAGACAGCAUAUCUAAAAGCAGCAAAUGUUGAAGGAAAUGGUGCCGCCAAGGAAGAAGAAGAAGAAAGAAGUUUGAAGAAGAAAAAUGGAGGCACACAAUUUUGACAAAGAAAAAAAAAAAAGAUUAAACUAAUAGCUAAUUUUGGCUAUAAAUCACUACAAGAAAAAAGAGAUACGACAACAGUACUUUAGCAAAGUGCGUGUAAUGCAU
This 1415-nucleotide long non-coding RNA is filed under the name Citrus sinensis (sweet orange). Its description in RNAcentral is "long non-coding RNA (CSIN_LNC004821)". The record is from RNAcentral. Lineage: Eukaryota; Viridiplantae; Streptophyta; Magnoliopsida; Sapindales; Rutaceae.